AACGAACGCUGGCGGCAGGCCUAACACAUGCAAGUCGAACGCCCUAGCAAUAGGGAGUGGCAGACGGGUGAGUAACGCGUGGGAACCUUCCCUGUGGUGCGGAAUAACUCGCCGAAAGGCGUGCUAAUACCGCAUAAGCCCGCAAGGGGAAAGAUUUAUCGCCAUAGGAUGGGCCCGCGUAGGAUUAGCUAGUUGGUGAGGUAAUGGCUCACCAAGGCGACGAUCCUUAGCGGUUUGAGAGAAUGACCAGCCACACUGGGACUGAGACACGGCCCAGACUCCUACGGGAGGCAGCAGUGGGGAAUCUUGGACAAUGGGCGCAAGCCUGAUCCAGCCAUGCCGCGUGAGUGACGAAGGCCUUCGGUUGUAAG
This 371-nucleotide ribosomal RNA is filed under the name uncultured bacterium. Its description in RNAcentral is "bacterial SSU rRNA". It matches the Rfam family "Bacterial small subunit ribosomal RNA", at positions 29 to 429 of the family's 1533-position model. The record is from RNAcentral.